This 254-nucleotide unclassified non-coding RNA is filed under the name Hevea brasiliensis (rubber tree). The record is from RNAcentral. Lineage: Eukaryota; Viridiplantae; Streptophyta; Magnoliopsida; Malpighiales; Euphorbiaceae.
GGAUAAUAGAACCUACAUAUUUGAAUUGAUUGCAUUUUAGCACCAAAACUCUAUCCAAUCAAACCUCACCUCAAUUUCUUUUAUCAGAGCGAAACUCACAAUUAAGAGUCAAUUUUACACACAAUCUGCGUACAUGACAUGAAAAAUAGAGGGUUUAUGUUGAGCUUAUUUUUGUCGUGUUGACCCAUUUACCACACGCUAAUAAUCGUGUUGUGUAAUGGGUUAAUUCGCAAACUCAAUUUGACACGUUUAUG